GAUGAAGAACGCAGCGAAAUGCGAUACGUAAUGUGAAUUGCAGAAUUCAGUGAAUCAUCGAGUCUUUGAACGCACAUUGCGCCCCCUGGUAUUCCGGGGGGCAUGCCUGUCCGAGCGUCAUUGCUGCCCUCAAGCACGGCUUGUGUGUUGGGCCUCCGUCCCCCUCCCGGGGGACGGGCCCGAAAGGCAGCGGCGGCACCGCGUCCGGUCCUCGAGCGUAUGGGGCUUCGUCACCCGCUCUUGUAGGCCCGGCCGGCGCUUGCCGACACAUCAAUCUUUUUUCCAGGUUGACCUCGGAUCAGGUAGGGAUACCCGCUGAACUUAAGCAUAUCAAUAAGCGGAGGA
This 345-nucleotide unclassified non-coding RNA is filed under the name soil metagenome. RNAcentral's name for it is "partial contains 5.8S ribosomal RNA, internal transcribed spacer 2, and large subunit ribosomal RNA". The stretch from base 1 to 120 matches the Rfam family "5.8S ribosomal RNA", at positions 35 to 154 of the family's 154-position model. The record is from RNAcentral.